UUGACCUCGGAUCAGGUAGGGAUACCCGCUGAACUUAAGCAUAUCAAUAAGCGGAGGAAAAGAAACCAACCGGGAUUGCCCUAGUAACGGCGAGUGAAGCGGCAAGAGCUCAAAUUUGAAAGCUGGCUCCUUCGGGGUCCGCAUUGUAAUUUGCAGAGGAUGCUUCGGGAGCGGUCCCCAUCUAAGUGCCCUGGAACGGGCCGUCAUAGAGGGUGAGAAUCCCGUCUGGGAUGGGGUGCCCGCGCCCGUGUGAAGCUCCUUCGACGAGUCGAGUUGUUUGGGAAUGCAGCUCUAA
Molecule: ribosomal RNA, 295 nt
Filed under: Penicillium sp.
Lineage: Eukaryota; Fungi; Ascomycota; Eurotiomycetes; Eurotiales; Aspergillaceae
Description: partial 28S ribosomal RNA
Rfam family: Eukaryotic large subunit ribosomal RNA
Source: RNAcentral